Molecule: ribosomal RNA, 117 nt
Filed under: Clostridia bacterium
Lineage: Bacteria; Bacillati; Bacillota; Clostridia
Source: RNAcentral
UCCGGUGAUAAUGGCUGGAGGGUUCCACCUGUUCCCAUCCCGAACACAGAAGUUAAGCCUCUACGCGCCGAAGGUACUUGGCUGGUAACGGCCCGGGAGACUAGGUCAUCGCCGGAU